CAUCUCCCGGAGCUAUACCGUACGUAUACACGCUGCUGCAAUCCAUUACUUUUACUCAAGUCCAAACCCUUUUCCAUCAUCUCCUGUGACAUUUCUCCAGCCUUCCCGUUUGCAUCCAUUUUUAUUCUUUCACUAUCGCUUAUCUUAUUUUCAAAUUAACUAUCGCACAAAAUAUUUUUUUAUUAAAUUGAAUUCUCUACAAAUUGAAUAUAUUUUCAUAAAUGAAUUUAUCUCUUUUUCAGAUGAUUACUAUUUUUCACUCAUCUAAGCAUAAUAUUUGAAAUCAAUAUCAACAACUAACUAACAUUCCACCAGAAGAAAGAAACAAAAAUCAAUUUUCCAACUGAGCAUAAGAAUUCACAAGGUGUACAAGGCGAAACUCGGAAGCUUUUAACGCCGUACUUUCCUUUCAGGAAAACGGGAACGAGAGGAGCCUCUGUGGAAAAAAAGCAACAACGAAGGAGCAGAUGAUACGAUACGGAGUCUGGAGGAACACGGUCGUGAAGCUAGGAGAGAGAGCGUGGAGAGAGUGUCUCAAUGUCUCCCAGAAGACUGAACCUAAGCAAUUUGUGCUUUCAUUCGCACAAAGCUCGAGCGCCGAGGAAAAUGCCGGCAUUUAACGUUGGCAACGAGGAAUCAGGUAUUCCAAGCCUGGAACAGGGAAUGGAUUACACGUGGAAAAUUAUUCUGGCAAGCGGCAUGUUUCAAACAAUGCGGUCGGUUCCUCGGAACACGACCCGGCGAUAAGCGGCUGCAACGUCGAAAAUCGUAGAUACAAUAACGUAAAUAAUCGUUAGGUAAACAAUAGCAUAGUUGUUGUUCGUUCCUACAUUGUUUACGCGGCUUGUCAACAUUAUUACAUUUUCGAGAUCACCGAAACAAAGCUUUCCAAUGCUUUAAAACGAAAUACAAGCAGAAUGAAAUCACAACUCAAAGCGACCACGAAAACCUGAAGUUAUUCGAAGGGGGCAUUCUUAUGACUAACACUGAAAUAUGUCGAAUUUCUCGUGGCGGAGAGCAAAGAAAAAUCAAGGGGGUCGCGAGAAGCACUUUGAUUAAAGUAUGUCGCGCGGUUUUAACUCGCGGCCCAAUUUGUUUCCCCCUUAAAACGCAGAAGAGGAUGAAACUUUUCGUUCAGAAUGGAAUUUUGGAAUUGCGAAUGACAAGCUAGAAGCCACGAGGGUUGUGUUGCGGCUGACCUAUCUUUUGAUGUUCGCCUUUUGGAGGAAGAAAUCUCUCUGUUUAUUACAAAAUUGAGAUUCUUUCAAAUAAUAUCGUAUAUUUUCAAUGUAUAAGGAUUGAUAAUUUUAUCGAUCAGUAAGGUUUCUUUUAUAUAACAUAUUCAUAGGAAAUGAUGGUUGGAAUCAUGAUUAAAUGAACGGCAAUAUCGCGAAACACGUGAGGAUCUUUUCUAUAGCGACAAAGGCUAACGUAACAGGCGAAUGUAAUUACAGUUUCCUCGUUAUUUUCCGUCACGAAUGCGGAGCAGAAAACUCGGUGAAACUUAUCUUGCGUAACGAUUGUUCAUGAUUCGUAACGAAACACGCGUGGCACGUUCAGGGAAGUAUCGAUCACAAUUCGUGUGAAUCUGAAAGCAAAAAUGCCGAAGAAUUAUGAUUAAUUUUUUACAUUUAUAUAAUUUUUGUUUAAAUAUAUUUUUGAUACAAAGAUAUAAAGUAUUAAAAUAUUCGAUAAUAUCGAUUAAAAGUGUUCAAAUGUACAUGCAUUUUUGUAACAGAUUGUUUUCAUUAUCUAUGUUCCCUUGGCACGUCUAAACGUUGAAUCACAUCGAUCAAAUAGGGUUCACGGUGUGACUGCGACACGUCGAGUUGACAAAGAAUGAUCGUGCGUCGAGCCACGUGUGUUUCUUAUACCAUGAUUGCUGGUUGCUUUACAUUUGUCUACGUGAUUUUCCUUGCUAUACGUCACAU
Molecule: long non-coding RNA, 1931 nt
Filed under: Apis mellifera (honey bee)
Lineage: Eukaryota; Metazoa; Arthropoda; Insecta; Hymenoptera; Apidae
Description: uncharacterized LOC107964676
Source: RNAcentral